This 16734-nucleotide long non-coding RNA is filed under the name Triticum aestivum (bread wheat). RNAcentral's name for it is "long non-coding RNA (TAES_LNC001267)". The record is from RNAcentral. Lineage: Eukaryota; Viridiplantae; Streptophyta; Magnoliopsida; Poales; Poaceae.
UCUCCUUGCUUUCACUCUUGGAGUGAAGCAGAUGAUCUGCUGCUGCAACAAGGUAUAACUUGCAAAAAAUCUUCAUUCCUGGAAGGCCAUAUAACCAUAUUACUUUGUAUAGAUGCUGCUACUUGUGUGGUAGACUUGUUUGAGGUUGCUAUAUGAUCCAAGUGCUUGAUUUUAACUAACAGUAAACAUGCUCUCAAUCAAUUGCUUGAUUUCAUAUUGCUGCACACAUAUUUUGAUUGUAGUAGUCUAAUUGUAUGUUUGAUUUGUAGUAGUCUAAUUGUAUGUUUGAUUUGUAGUACAUUUGGAUAUACCAGCUUUAACCUGUAUGAAUCUUCAUGUAAUAAUAAUAUUAAAUGGUGUGGAGUUGGAUGUCACUUGGUUCAUCAUCUAGAUGAGAACUAUGCACAAUGUAUUAAUAUUUGUCUGUUGUCCUGUACUGCCAUACCUGCAGUUUUUCCUGUAACUAGUUGAUUGUUCUGCUGCUCUAAUGUUUAAUUCUCACUCUGUGAUAGGUACUGCUGUGCUAGUGUUUUGUUCUGCUUGUUUAUGCUAGUUAUAACAGUAUAAUCAAGUCUUCUGUUGUUAUCUGUUUGCAAUAUCUUACAGUUCCAUCUUAGAUCUGAGUAUCAUUUAACUAAAGGUGUCCUUCUACUGUUAUUUUUUAGAUGGACGCCACCACUCCCAAGUACUCAAAGGCACGUUACGAAGAAAUUGUUAAGGAGGUCUCUUCCUACCUGAAGAAGGUCGGCUACAACCCUGAAAAGGUUCCCUUCGUCCCCAUCUCUGGGUUCGAGGGUGACAACAUGAUUGAGAGGUCCACCAACCUUGACUGGUACAAGGGCCCAACCCUGCUUGAGGCGCUUGACCAGAUCAACGAGCCCAAGAGGCCCUCAGACAAGCCCCUCCGUCUUCCCCUCCAGGACGUUUACAAGAUUGGUGGCAUUGGAACUGUGCCUGUUGGCCGUGUUGAGACUGGUGUCAUCAAGCCUGGUAUGGUUGUUACCUUUGGUCCCACUGGUCUGACAACUGAGGUCAAGUCUGUUGAGAUGCACCACGAGUCUCUCCUGGAGGCGCUUCCUGGUGACAACGUGGGCUUCAACGUCAAGAAUGUUGCCGUGAAGGAUCUGAAGCGUGGUUUUGUUGCAUCCAACUCCAAGGAUGACCCUGCCAAGGAGGCAGCCAACUUCACCUCCCAGGUCAUUAUCAUGAACCACCCUGGUCAGAUUGGCAACGGCUACGCCCCAGUGCUGGACUGCCACACCUCACACAUUGCUGUCAAGUUUGCUGAGCUGGUGACCAAGAUUGACAGGCGAUCUGGUAAGGAGAUAGAGGCCGCGCCCAAGUUCCUCAAGAACGGCGAUGCUGGCAUAGUGAAGAUGAUUCCCACCAAGCCCAUGGUUGUGGAGACCUUUGCCACUUACCCUCCUCUUGGUCGUUUUGCUGUCCGUGACAUGAGGCAAACUGUGGCUGUUGGUGUCAUCAAGGGUGUGGAGAAGAAGGACCCAACUGGCGCCAAGGUGACCAAGGCUGCCAUCAAGAAGAAAUGAGGCGUUUACCUGAAUCCGUCUAUGUCUGCUUUUUGAGAUCUCUAGUAGUUUAGUGCCUAUUAAGUUUUGCUACUGUUAGCGCCGUGUGAUAUGCGCCCUGUUGAUGUGUCAUUUGAGUACUGUCGUUAAUUUCGGCUUUUGACAAAACAUGGAAGCUUCUGAGACUACUCAUUUUUAUCCUCUGCUUUGGAAUGUUAGGCUGCUACUUUUAGUCAUAGCUGAUGUUUCUCUUUGAAGCCUUUGGUUUUUUGUCGCCUUUGGUGGUUUUUUGUCAUGAUAAUAGCAGGUUGUUGGCAUUCUCACAUCUGUUUGCAUUGAUCCCCAUCUAGGCCUUCCAAAAUAUGUUUGGCCAAUAGUGGCAUGACCAAAAUGUUAGGGACUUGGAUAGUAACUAGGAAAAUUUUGGCAAAAAUCGUAGGCUUUGAUUUAUUAAAAGAUCUAGCCAUGUAGUGCAUAAUGAGCUGAUUAAAAUGCUUACAAUCAAAUCAGAACUAAUGGGCAAAUAAAGGGUGCAAAAUAAUUAGCCUACACCGUUGCACAACGGAGGGAAAUAGAGUGCAAUGACGUUUUUGUUAGUUCGAAAAAGAUUAUCGUUGUUAGGGCUGGGGGCUCCAUGUGCGAUGUGAUUCAGUUAGGAUGCGUUUGGUUGAAGGUGUCGUAUGAAUGGGUUGGGACCGUUCAAUUUUUUUGGAAUUGAACCAUUCAAUUCAUGUGUUUGGCUGAAUAUAAGUGGUGAGCUAAUUAUUUAGGACGGGACCAUCAGUCAUGCUCACAUAGUCAUGCAUGCAAAGGGUGGCCAUUUGAUUCGACCGAAUUGAUUGGGUGGAACGGUUCAGCAUCUUCAUGGCAUAUUCUUUUUUUUGGCUCGAACCAUUCAUGUGCUUUAUAACCAAACAUGUCUAUUUUCUGAACGAUCCCAACCCAUUCAUGACCGCCCUUACAACCAAACGCACCCGAGUAGGAAAUAUGGAGCAGAGUAGCGCAGCACCAAGCCGGCGGUACAUCCUCACCUUGGUGCCAAAGUUUUGUGAAGCUUGUAAAGUGAAAAAGUGAUUUUUCUAGAAAUAAAUGAUUUUUAUUGAUUGGGCACUAUAUAUACAGAGAGCAGUUACAAAUUUGUGAGAGUAUUUCUAACCGCAAGCAGCGGUUGCUAAUGCGUGAGACAUAACAGUAACUCUCGGUUCCUUAAUUAGGACUUGAUAAUUAAUAAAUAAUCAAGUGCUCUAAUUUUAUUUCUAACACUCCUUCUUGGAUCACGCAUCUUCUAGAAGAAUCCAUCAUUCAGUGCUUCUUGUAUAUUUCAUCAUCUAAUGCUUCUUAUAUAAUCGUCAUCCUGCUUGAGAAUCAUUUCUGCAAUUUAAGAACCUUCCUAAAAAACUCUGUGGAAAAAAUAUGAGGAGUAAUAGAUAUACCAUUGAAAACUUCUUUAAAACUCUGUGGGAAAAAUAUAAGGAGAAAACGAUAUGAUAUAAUUUAUAUUGCCUCAUUAAAAAUCUUUUAUGAGAAAACUGAUGCAAAAACUCAUAAAAGAAAAGAGUACAAUAAUUAUUAUCUGAUGAUAACUAAAGGGUUAUAAUUCUAGGAGUUUUUCUUCCCCUGAAAUUUGCAAAUCUCGAAUACGUCUCACACCAAUCCCAUGAAUACAUUUCUGAAAUGUUGAAUUUGGUAAAGACUUUGUGAACAAAUCUGCUAAAUUGUCACAUGAUUUGGUUUGUAAAAUAUCAAUUUCUCCAUCUUUCUGUAAUGAAUGUGGAAAGAACAAUUUAGGAGAAAUAUGUUUUGUGAUAUUAUUUUUAAUAUAACCCAUUUGCAUUUGAGCAAUGCAAGCUGCAUUAUCUUCAUAAAUAAUAGUUGGUGAUCCUAAUGAACCAAUACCACACGAAGUUUGAAUGUGGUUAAUCAUCCUGCGAAGCCAUACACAUUCCUUUGAUGCUUCAAAUAAUGCAAUUAUUUCAGAAUGAUUAGUGGAAGUUGCUACGAGAGUCUGUUUUUGUGAUUUUCAUGAAAAAGCAGUUCCACCAUAUAAGAAUACGAAACCUGUCUGUGACCUAGCAUUGUGAGGAUCAGAUAAAUAGCCAGCGUCAGUAUAUCCUACCAUAGUCAUAUCUUGGUUUUUCUGAUAGAAUAAGCCAAGAUCUUUUGUGCCAUGUACAUAUCUAAAGAUAUUCUUUACUUCUGUCCAAUGACGUUUUGUUGGAGCAGCGCUAUGUCUAGCUCGUAAAUUUACCGCAAAUGCAAUAUCAGGUCUGGUGCAAUUUGCAAGGUACAUUAGCGCACCAAUAGCACUGAGAUACGGGAAUUUAGGUCCUAAUAUCUCUUCGUCAUCAUCCCGAGGUCUAAAAGGAUCUUUAUUCAUAUCAAGGGAUCUGACAACCAAGGGUGGUUUGGUUGGAUAUGAUUUAUCCAUAUUGAAUUUUUCCAAAACCUUUUGAAUAUAAGCAGGUUGAUAUACUAAAAUUUCCGAGGGAAGAUGCUCAAGCUGUAUGCCUAAGCAAAAUUUGGUCUUUCCAAAUCUUUCAUCUCAAAUUCCGUCAUUAAAUGAUUGCGUGCUUCUUUUAUAUCAUGUGUACUCCCAAUGAUAUUGAGAUCAUCAACGUACACUGAGAUGAUGCAAAAUCCAUUUGAGGAUUUCUUUAUAAAUACACAAGGGCAAUCAUCAUUAUUUGAGUAUCCUUUCUGAAUAAGAAACUCACUCAGUCGGUUAUACCACAUUCUACCCGACUGUUUUAAGCCAUAGAGUGACUUUCGUAAUUUUACACAAUAUGCGUUGCGAUUUGCUUUUGGAUUCGGCAUUUUAAGUCCUUCAGGAACUUCCAUAUAUAUGUCCGAUUUGAGUGACCCAUACAAGUAUGCUGUCACUACGUCCAUUAACUGCAUAGAUAAAUUCAUUUGUACUGCCAAAGAUAUUAAAUAUUGAAACGUUAUUCCACUCAUGACAGGAGAGUAUGUAUCAUCAUAAUCGAUGCCAGGUCUCUGCGUGAACCCUUGUGCUACAAGCCUCGCUUUGUAUCUCACCACCUCGUUGUUUUCAUUCCUUUUUCGAACAAAAACCCAUUUUGCUCCCACAGGGAAGACAUUCUGAGGAGUAGGUAUUACUGUGGAAAAUACCUCUCUUUUGUUGAGCGAGCGCAGUUCUGCCUCAAUUGCUUCCUUCCAUUUAGGCCAAUCAGGACGCUUGAGGCAAUCCCUGACGGUCUUUGGUUCUGGAUCCAGUUGAAGGGUUUCAGCAAUUUCAGAGGCAAAAUAUAUGUCGACAAUUGUAGUCUCUCUGUUGUAUGAUUCUCCUGUUUCUAUAUAGUUUAUGGAAAUUUCUUUUAUACCUUCAGACUCUAUGUGAUUUCCCACAACAAUAGAGUCAUGGUGUUCCGAUGUCCCAGCUACUAUAUUUGUAUGCGCAUUUAUGCUGGGUUCUAGAUGUUGAUCAUCUGAUUGGUGUCCUUCAACUUGAGGUUGAAUUGCAUUUACUGGUAGAGGAUUUGAUUUCCUCUGUUUCCGCGGAGGCUUCUGAGAAGCUAUAUUCCGGCUAACCAGAUUUCUCCUCUUACUCUCAUUUGGGGUUUGAGUGGUUUUACUUGGUACCUCCACUCGUUCUGGUGCAUUAACAGCGGGGAUAUGUGAUUUAGUGACACCUUUAUGGUCAGUAAAUGCAUCUGGCAGAUUAUUUGCAAUAUGUUGCAAAUCUAUAAUCCUCCGAACUUCAGUUUCAGAUUUUUUAGUACGUGGAUCUAAGGACUGGAUGCCUGUUACAUUCCAAUCUAUUUUCUGACAUUCUUUGUGGUUUGAUUCUCCCCCUAAUGCCGGGAAAUGGUCCUCAUCAAAAAUAGAAUCAGCGUAUCGAGCAGUAAACAGGUCCCUUGUAAGAGGUUCAAGAUAUUUUAUAAUUGACGGAGAAUUAUAACCCACAUAGAUCCCAAGUUUUCUGUGGGGGCCCAUGGUUGUACGUUGGGGUGGUGAUAUCGGUACGUAUACUGCGCAACCGAAUUUUCGCAGAUGGGAAAUACUUGGCUGAGUGCCACGAACUAGUUGCAGCGGGGAGGUUGUGUGGUAUGCAGUUGGUCUGAUUUGUAUCAGAUCUACGACGUGUAAUACCGCAUGUGCCCAACAAGAUGUUGGCAAAUUACAAUUAUAUAAUAAUGGUCGAGCAAUUAAUUUUACUCUUUUGAUGAGAGAUUCAAUCCAUUUUGAGUAUGAACAUAAGGCACAUAAUGUUCUAAAUUAAUGCCCAUAGCCAUGCAAUAGUCAUUAAAUGCGCGUGAAGAAAAUUCAGCAGCAUUAUCCAUUCGAAUUGUUUUUAUCUUAUUUUCGGGAUGGUUUGCUCUUAAUUUGAUAAUCUGAGCAAUUAACUUGGCAAAGGCAUGAUUACGUGUGGAUAAUAGACAUACGUGUGACCAUCUAGUAGAUGCAUCUAUGAGUACCAUGAAAUACCUAAAGGGUCCUGAUAGUGGUUGAAUUGGACCACAUAUAUCUCCUUGAAUGCGUUCAAGGAAAUUUAAUGACUCAUUUUUUACUUUAAGAUAAGAUGGUUUUAUAAUUAAUUUCCCACUUGCACAUGCGGUGCACACAAAAUCUGAUGAUUUGGGGAAUCUUUUAGUUGGAAGGCUGUGACCAAUAGAAUUGUCAAUAUUUUUUCUUAUCAUCCCUAUGCCAGGAUGACCUAGGCGAUCAUGCCAAGUCUUGAAUUUAUCAAGGUCUUGAAAAAUUAUUUUGUACGCAACAUGUGGUACGGGUUUUAUAUAACUAUAAUAUAAUCCAGAUGAAAGUGAGGGGAAUUUCUCAAGAAUUUGUUUCUCAGACCCAUUGCUCUUUGUUAAAAGCAAAUAUUCAAUAUUAUUUUCAGAGAUAGUUUCCAUAUGGAAAUUAUUUGAUUGAAUGUCUUUGAAACUUAGAAGGGUGCGAGUAGAUUCAGGAUACAAGAGUGCAUCCUCAAUUACAAUGGUAGUACCCAUAGGCAGAACGAGUGUGGCUUGUCCUGAACCAAUAAUUGAUGCAUCGCGACAGGCAAUGGUCAUAAUAUUCCCUUGUCUCUUAGUUAGAGUUUGGAAAUAUUUUAUUUCCCUUAAUAUUGUGUUAGUGGUACAACUGUCCACCAAACAUAGUUCUUCUUCCAUUGGAUUAUCUUCCCGUAAAAUCUAUAUAGAGUAAGAGAAUAUUUUAGGAUGAUUUUUAUUCAUUACUCACAUAUAAAUACAUACAAAGUAUUCAUAUUACAGUUACACAUAUAAAUAUGACAUUAUGUCUGAAUUACAUAAGAUGAUUGGUCCGUAGGACUUUAUUCUACUUAGAGUUAUACAAAUUUUAACUUCCAUUAUUACAAUAAAAUAGCUGAUAACAUCAAAUGAGUGAUGUGGAGAUUAUAUGAGAUCUACGUAUGCGUCUUGGGUGUAUUCCACCAUCAUGUUGUCGACAUCAAGAAGAUCUUCAUCCUUCUUCCUUGUUUCCUUAGGAGCGCUUUGAGAAGUGCUAGCUUCAAGGUUCUCUUCUUGUUGUAAAGCGUUGAAGUGAGCUUCUGCUUUUCCAUGAACUUGUUUGCCUUUCCUAGUGGAUUUGAGAUAUAAAUCCGCUAGAUGCUUAGGAGUUUGACAUUUGCUAGUACGAUGGUUAGUACAUCCACACCUUUGACAAAUCUCGGAUUUGGUGUUUCGGUCAUCUUUCUUAAAAUGACCUUUACCUUUAGAUUGACCAAAUGUUUUCUGCUUGUUGUUCCUUUUCCACUUUCCAUUGAAUUUCUUGAAAUUCUUUUUAUUCCCCCAUACUUUUUAGUAGACUGAGUGUUAGCAUGUGCUUCAGGGAGUGGCAUGGAGCCCGUUGGGCGUGUCUGAUGAUUCUUCAUGAGAAGUUCAUCAUGUUUCUCAGCCUGAAGUAAAGUGUAUAUGAGCUCAGAAUACUUUUUGUAUUUUUGUUGACGGUACUGCUGUUGUAGUACUCUCAUCGAGGGGUGGAAAGUGCACAAGGUCUUCUCAAUGAGAUCUUCUUCUGAAAUUGCUUGGUUGCAAAAUCUUAGUUUAGAAUUAACCUUGUGAACUGCAGAGUUGUAUGCUGCCACGGAUUUGAAAUCUUGGAACCUUAUGAGGGACCAUUCUCUUUGGGCUUCUGGUAGCAUAACUGCUCUUUGUUGGUCAUAUCUCUCCUUGAGAGAGUUCCAUAAAGCAAGUGGAUCCUCCUCCAUUAAAUAUUCUGUUUUUAAAUCAGGAUGGAGGUGAUGCCUUAUAAAACUUAAUGCUCCAUAUUUGACUGCUUGCGGUAUUUCCGCAGCGCCUUCAACAGGUGUGAUAAUUGUGGAACCAAGUUUACGACAUUCUAAUGCUAUCUUGGUAUCCAUAGCCCAUGAUAAAUAAUUACUACCAUCUAGCUCAAGUUCAUGAAAUUCUCUAUUCAUGACGCCAGCCAUUUUCCUGCAUGUUGUGAUCAUGCAUAAAUUAGUUUUACUAUGAGAGUAAAAUUUAAGUAACAACAAAUGCUUCAAAAGAACAAAGUUCUGAAGUAUAGCUGAUGCUUUAUACUUAUAUGUGUAGACCUCAUUUUAUGUAAAUGACACUUUGAAGAUAGUCACCGUUGUGGUGUAGAUCUCGCAGCAAUGGAGAACAUAAUCUGGUUUUGACCAGUAGAUGUUCAUAUAUCCAUUACCUUGUGCCAUACUAAAUUUUACAAAAACACUUUGAAGGUAGUCAUCUGUCAAAUGACUAGAUGUAGACCUCACAGUAAGAGUGGAUAGUCUGCAAUUUGAUGCAGUAGAUCACACAGUUACCUUGUGUUUUGCAAGUAUAAUAUUCGAGGUAAUCACAUCAAUUUGCAUAUUUGGAAGAGCACUCGAAGAUAAUCAUUUCGCCAGAACAAAAGAGGCAAAACGUAGAUCUUUCAGCAAUGAGGAUAAUCUGCAAAGUGCAGUAGAUGCCUCAUCUACCCUGUGAUCCCGAAAUAUGAAUUUGUAAAUAAAAAUUGUUGUACUUAUGAACUACAUAUUGUAAAAGGAAAUGCUGAAGCAAUCAUGUAGAAUAUGUACACGUAGUCUGAGACUUUACUUAGAUAAUACAUGGUCUAGAUAUCCAAACUUACAAUACAGUACAGACUGAAUAUAAUAAACAAAGGUUCUUAGUACAAUAAAAUAGCACUCUCAAAUAAACAGAACCGGCUGCUAUGCAAUAUACAAAUACUAUGGCUAUUCUCUGUUGAAAACGCCACAGCACCAGCAGCCAUUUAUUGGAGUUAUUGGCCUGUAGGCCUGAUUAGGUGAGGAGCGGGGAGAGUUGGCCUGGCCCAUGCACCGACAGAGAGAGGAUAAGGAGAGCAGGAUCGCUAGUUUCCCUACGUCUCCGCCACUUUUCGUACCUGGACUCAGCACCGCUGCUCGUCAGCUCUCCCUGCCCCAUCUCGCCGUCUUCAAUGGAAGCGAGUUGGGCCCCGCUUCGCAGCACGGCCUGCUCCGCUGCUGCUCGCCCCAGGGGCGCCGGUGAGGCCAAGGGCAUCCAGCGACCACGCGCCACGAAGGGCUGCAUGGUUUUGCGCCAUGGCCGCGGCGAAUUGGCGCAGGAUCCGGCGGGCUUUCGGCGGAGGCGUCGGAGGAAGAGGCGGUGCCGGAGGAGGAGGUGGUGUCGCCGGUGAUGAACGUGGUGGCGUCGACGACGAGCCCUGGUCCUCUAUCUCCUCUUCUUCAACCUUGAUCUUGAUGUUCAAGUCGGGGAUGGAAGGGUAGCCGCCGGUUCCCGCUGCCGCCGGCGUCGGGGAUGGGAGAUCCGGGACGGGGCCGUAUCCAGGAGGGAUGAAGUGCUCCGGCAGUUCGUCUGAUGGCGUCGGAGACGGCUUCCGCGGUGGUGCGCCCGUACGCGCUGGGCAUGAUUCGAACCCGUACGGGGGCAGAGGCGGUGGCGCGAGUUCGCAAGGGAACAUCUCUUCUUCUCCGAGGAAUGGCGCCGAUGGACCUCCAAGGAGCCAAUCCAUCGGAGGGAUGGUGAAGACAGAUGGCGGCGGAGUCAUUGGUACGAUGUAGUCGUCGGCGACGGCCGGAGCCGGAGCCGAAGGCCCAGCAUGGUUUGCAGUGGUGGUCGGAGCCGAGGGUCUAGCCUGGUGCACCAUUGGUGCUCGCCCACGGAGCGGGCGGUUGCCUUGGCGUGCGUACCCACGACGGCGGUUCUGGCGGUGGUUCCAGGCGAAAAAGCGGCGGCGAGGGCCACUCCUUGCGCCAAGUCCCUGACGGCGACGGCGACUUGCAGCACGGUGGCGAUGGGUGCGUGGACAGCGACGGUUCUCUCUCUGGAGGAAGCGUGCAAUGGCGAAAGCAAUCGACGACAGGUCCCUCCCUGCCAUUCUUACCUUUCCUGUGAUGGCUCUCUGUCGCUCUCGGCAGAGCGAGUACUGAUAACGUAUAAAGUGAAAAAGUGAUUUUUCCAGAAGUAAAUGAUUCUCAUUGAUUGGGCACUAUAUAUACAGUUACAAAUUUGUGAGAGUAUUUCUAACCGCAAGCAGCGGUUGCUAAUGCGUGAGACAUAACAGUAACUGCACUAAGCAGUUGCUAACAUGAGAGAGGAAGUACAACUGCUUCUAGUAGUUAGAGAAUACAUAGUCGGUUCCUUAAUUAGGACUUGAUAAUUAGUAAAUAAUCAAGUGCUCUAAUUUUAUUCCUAACAAAGCUGAUGUAUAGUACUCCCUCUGUAAUAUUCGGGAAAAAAUUAAAAUAAAUAGUAAGCAUUUUAAUCUAAAGAAAUAUAAAGAAAUAUAAGAGCUUUUAGAUUACUAUGUAGAGAUUCUAUUAUGGCCCACAUAUGGAUGUAUAUAGAUGUAUUUUAGAGUGUAGAUUCACUCAUUUUGCUUCAAAUGUGGUCUAUAAUGAAAUCUCUCCAAAGACUAAAUGGAGGGAGUUCAAGUGAUCUAUACACUCUUAUAUUUCUUUACUGAGGGAAUACUGUAUAAGACCGUUCGAAAGUGUUAUGUCGAGUUUAGCAAUUCGGGUUAAACAUUUUUUUCUGUUUUGCUUAGUCCGGUGAAAUUUCUAGUCUUUGUCUUUAGGUCACUGAAUAGACAUGGUGUAUCUUGUAUACAUCAAAGUUAAGCCCAAGCCCGCAGAAUAGCUUUUCGAAAAUUGUCUGCACCGAGCAGGUUCAUCUAACUGAAUUGAAAAGGUUAAAAGUUACAAAAAAGUUUUCUUCUUGCAUCUGACGUAGUACCAUUCUAAGUUAGCCACAAGCGCCAGGAGGCGGCAGUACAAGCCAACUUGGUCGAAAAAUUUAAACAGGUCGAGAGCAUUCCAAAGUUGCUUGACCGGAGUAUCAUCGUCUAUUGGCAUGUGCCUGCUACGAACACCUAUAGCUCAUCUUCAGGCCUCACCUCACCUGCUUUCUCAGCUUCGUUCAACACAAAGGUCUUGAGAGACUCCACGUCCCUAGGCCCUGCAAUGCCAUUGAGUAGUUGGAUUAGGCAUUGAGCACUUACUAGACGAAUAUUUUCAAAACAAAGAAUCAUACAUAAUGGGAAAAUAGAAGCACAUCAGAAGGCAACAAACUGCGUGUACAAAGAAAAUGCAGCAAAAAGUGUAUUGCCAUACUGCAUAUGAUCUUUUGAGCGGUGAUGCCGAAUGACAGUACAAGAAAAUUGUAAGUGUUACAUUAAAUCAACUUCAGGGACAUGAUACGGUCCAGGAUUAUGAAUUGAUGGUUGAAAGUGGAGACUCGCUAUAGAAUAGCAUUUUCAUGAACAAAGUACCACAACAAAUCCAACAGGUGGAGCAACAUGAUAACAUAUCCAUCUAAUAAAAUGUUGAAAAAGCAUGCAUUCAUGAUCAAUAAAAGCAAAAAAUAAAAUAAAAUGAUAUGUGAACAAAGUUGUACACAAAGUUUUCCUCCCUCAUGUUGUUUAUUUAGUUAUGAAAUAUCGUCACCUCUGCUGUUAAGAACUAGCUGAUACUCCCUCCGAUUACAAAUAUAAGAUGUUUUGGAUAUUUCAAUAUGGACCACAUACGGACUGAAAUGAGUGUAACAAACACACUAAAACGUGUCUAUAUACAUCCGACUCAGACAAAAGUUAGAACAUCUUAUAUUUGUGAAUGGAGGAGUAUAUCAGUAACAUCCAAGUCAUGGCUGGUCCAAAGAAGAAAUUCUAAAUUUUCCGCAUUAGCGGAUCCUGCUAUAUACAAAAAUCGCGCCUAAAAUGUAAUCUUUUCCAACCUUUUGGUUCAAGUUCAGAGGUUUUAAUCUUUUAAGAGUCAUGCCCUACUCUCACAAUACAAGUCAACAAUGUGGUUUUGGUUUCUAAAAUGUAUCGCCAUUCCAAGAGUAUCGAACCAGAUGCAAUAGAUUCCAACAUGGUUUUCAUGGUAGUGGUAUCUAGUUUAUGUUGUCCUUGUCAAACAGAAGUAAGAUGUGAGAGGGAUUACCUUUAUAUUUUGCAACUUCUUCGCCAUCAUAGAACACCUUGAAUGUUGGGUAUGAAUGAAUGUCCACCUUUGAGCAGACUGGUUUGCUUGCACCGCAAUCAACUUUUCCGAUCUCAAUUUCAUCCGUACCUUCAAUAACCUUCCCGAGGUCCUCCCAAAGAGUUCCUAGGCUCUUGCUGUGUAAAUGUAGAAGGCAUCCUUGUUUAGCAGCAAGCGGUCAAAACUCGCAUUGUAGUUGAUACAUCCAUGUCACCGCUACGGCAUGUAGAGCUUACCAGUGCUUACACCAAGGGACGCAGAAUUGCACAAACCACACUGUGUCCUUCUCCUUUAUCUAGAAACAAGAGAAAAAUCCAAACUGGCUUAAGCAACGGCAGUGCACAAGCAUUGCAGGGAAGUAACUCAAGAACCAAAACAGGAGUACAGAUGGCGCGCCGCAUCUAAACACCGAACCUUCCGUGAUUGGAAAAAUUAAUACACCAAGAAUAAUGAUCUAUCGGUUUAUUAUUAGGAAAUCAUGCUGGAAUCAGUAGCAAAUCUGGGAAACGGCUACAUGUCAGUAACUAUAAACACACCGCCUGCUACACUGCAUCCCAGCGUAGCCAAGUGAUAUGUUGAAAAAUCAGCUGUUCUUGGGUCCGCGGCGUGCCCUAGAGUACUACUACUAUUACAUCUCGAGGGGGAGGUGGAAGAGGCGGGAGACACGAGAAGGGGAAAGCAGUCGGUACCUUGUCGGAGAAGGUCUCUUCGGUGAGGGUGAUGACCUCGGCGCCGGAUCGCGCGGCCAGGGCGGCGAGUAACGUGACGGCCACCAGCAGGAGGUGGAUAGGGAGGCGGGAGCGGCGCCGAAGAGCCGGAUCCAUGGCUCGAUCGGAGGACGGCCACGGCGACGACGGGGAGACAAGGAGAAGGCGGAUACGCAAGCCGGGGUGGGUCGAUGUAGUAUUUCCCUGGGCCGGGCCGGGCCGGGUCGGGCUAGGAUAGACGAUGACACGGGUUUAAGCAUAGCUCUGACCUAUAAAAAAAAGCAUGUGGAACCUGGGCCUCCGACCGGACGUGGGCCACUGUCGUCGCCUUCUUGCUUUGCCAGAGGCCGUCAGCCACAGUGCUCGCCUGCCUCGGCGUUCACAUUAUUCAUCGGCUUUAUUUGCUCGGAGAAAAAAGCGUCUACUGUUGUCAUAUCAUAAAUAUGUUCCUAAAAAAUUUAUAUCAUAAAGAUCACAUUACAAGUCACGUUAAUGACUAGCUAGCUUUUGCACAAAUAAACACCCGUAAAAGAAAAUAAUUUACAAUCAACACUGAAGAAUCCCCUGAGUUUGGCACCAAUAUCUUUCACCCGCCUCUGGCACUUCCUGAGCAGCCACCAAAUGAAAAAGAAAAUGUCGGUUCCAUUCCGUUUCCUUCAAACUCUACACCUUUAUCUCUACAUAAUGUUAUUGUUUCACCUAACCUUAUCAAAAAUCUAGUCUCUCUCUAUUCCUUUACUCGUGACAAUCAUGUAACUGUGAAAUUUGAUGGAGUUGGUUUCUCUGUUAAGGAUGCAUGUACUCGGAUGAUUCUGCACCGAUGUGAUAGUCCUGCCAAUCUCUACUCCGUCCAGCCAUCAUCAUCUUCCACUACUGGACCGGUGGCCCUCUCUGCCGAGGUUGACCUUUGGCACACACGCCUUGGUCAUCCGGGCUCCGCCGCACUUCGCACAAUCAUGCAAGGAUUUUCUUUCUUUUUGUGAUAAAACAGACAACCAUACUUGUCAUGCAUGUCGUCUCAGCAAGCAUGUUCGUCUUCUAUUUAGUUCGUUUUCCACAUUUGCAUAUUUUCCGUUUCAGUCAAUUCAUACUAAUGUAUGGACCUCACCUAUUCCAAGUAAUUCCAGUUAUAUUUAUUAUUUUGUGAUAUUGGAUGAUUAUUCCUAUUUUGUGUGGACCUUUCCUCUCCGUCAAAAAUCUGAUGUUCCAUCUACACUCACCAUAUUUUUUCUUACGUGUCUACACAGUUCGGGAGGUCCGUUCAUGCUUUGCAAACUGACAAUGGAAAGGAGUUUGACGACCUUAGCAUCCACACUCUUCUUGCAUCCCAUGGCAUCAUCUUUCGGCUCACGUGUCCUUACACCUCGUCACAAAACAGUCGCGCCGAAUGUAUGCUCCGCACCCUUAAUGGUUGUGUACGCACUCUCCUGUUUCAUGCUCAUGCUCCACCUCGCUUUUGGCCCGAUGCACUCGCCACAACAACCCUUCUCAUUAAUAUCGAGCCUUGCCGUGUUCGAUGGACCUAUACACCACACCAGCUUCUCUUCGGCUGGCCGCCAUAUUAUGAUGAUCUUCGGUUGUUUGUGCUACGCUAGCAUCACAACCACCACUCCACAUAAGCUCGCACCGUAGUCCCUGCCAACAUUUUCUCGGCUACCCACCAAGCAAGAGUGGCGCCGCCGUCAUCUUCGGUGGCACCUCGCCUCGCCACUGGCCGUUCCCAAGCUGGCCCUGACGCCCCAUGCCGUCGUGGCCCGCAUGUCGUGGCUGCUUCACCGGCUACUCUAGCCACUUCGCCGGUCCCCUUGACACCGGCCACUCCAACUGCUUCUUCGGUCGGUCACGCCUCGACGCUGGCCACGCCGGCUAGUACUCCGACCGCGGCAUGCCGGCUGCUUCUCCGGUUGCCUCGACGUCGGCCAUGCUAGAUGCUUCUCCCACCGCCUUGGCAUUGGCUACUCUAGCCGCCUCGACGUCGAUUGCUUCUCCGACUGCCUCCACGCCGGCCUCACCGACCGCUUCGAUGCCGGUCUCCUCAGCUAUUGCGGCUGCCUCACUGACUUCCGCGGCUGCUUCAUUGGCCUCCUCGACCGCCUCACUGGCCAAGCUCGGCCACCACGGCUGCGAGCGGGUCGCAUCCACCACCGACGGGUCCCGUUACUCGUCUCAUGCGGGUGUGUGCCGUCCGAGCUCCCGCUACUCCAUCGAUGAGUACGUGUGUGCGGCCUCCACCUCUGCAGCCUCACCGUUGCCCACCUCCGCUCGGGUGGCUCUCCGGGAUCCGCAGUGGCAUGCGGCCAUGCUGGAGGAGUUCGACGCCCUACAGCGCAACCGGACAUGGCAGCUUGUUCCCCGUCCACGCGGUGCCAAUGCCAUCUCUGGCAAGUGGGUGUUCAAGCACAAACUUUGCCCUGAUGGUACAUUCGAGCGCUACAAAGCGCGUUGUGUGGUGCGAGGCUUUUGCUAGUGAUCCGGCGUCAACUUCACGGACACCUUUACCCUGGUUGUCAAACCGGGCAUGAUUCGUACCACCUGCACCUCGCGAUGUCUCAGGCGUGGCCGGUGGACCAGAUGGAUGUCUCCUACGCCUUUCUCCAUGGUCAUCUCGAUGAACAAGUGUAUUGCCAGUAGCCCGCUAGUUUUGUCGAUGACACAUAUCUGGAUCAUGUGUGCCUGCUUUCUCGCUCGUUAUAUGGGCCCAAGCAGGCACUACGCGCCUGGUACCAGCGCAUCAUCGUGUUUCUUUAUUAGCUCGUCUUUCGCUCCACUCGCUCCUCCGCCUUAAUGUUUGUCUAUCAACAGGGCCAUGAGACUGCCUAUGUCCUCCUCUAUGUCGAUGACAUCAUCUUGACGUCGUGCACUACUGAUCUUCUUCGACGGCUCACUGAUCGACUUCGCGCUGAGUUCGCCAUCAAGGACUUAGGCCUGCUACACUACUUCCUCAGCAUCGAGGUGGUACGGCGGGUGAAUGACUUCUUUCUUCACCAGAGUUGCUUGACCGCACUGGGAUGCUUAAUUACAAACCCGCAACCACCCCCGUCGACAUGAAGGCCAACCUCUCCGCCACCGAUGGUUUGCCGGCCCUGGAUGCCCCCUUCUACCGCUCAAUUGUUGGUGCUUUGCAAUACUUGACACUCACUCGCCCGGAGUUGCAGUACGCGGUGCAGCAGGUGUGCCUUCAUAUCCAUUCACCUUGUGAUGCUCAUUGGACCGUGGUGAAACAGAUUCUCUGUUACAUUUGCGGCACUAUGGAUCUUGGCCUCUCGCUCCAUGCUUCAGCGGCUAUGGACAUCGUGGCAUACUCUGAUGUAGACUGGGCUGGCUGCCCGGACACAUGGCAUUCCACCUUCGGUUACUGUGUCUACCUUGGACCAUCACUUAUCUCCUGGUCAUCCAAGCAGCAGCCCACAAUUCCUCGGCCUAGUGCUCAGGUUGAGUAUCGCACAGUGGCUAACAUCGUUGCUGAAUGCUCUUGGCUUCGGCAGCUUCUCUUCGAGCGCUCUUGUCCUAUUAACAAGGCCACUGUGGUGUAUCGUGACAACAUAUCCGCCUGAUACGUCUAUUUUGCAUCAUGUUUUCUUACUGUUAUUUAUAAUGUUUUUAUCCAUAAUAAUGCUUUUUGGAGUAAUUCUAAUGCCUUUUCUCUCAUAAUUUGCAAGGAACACACCAAGAGGGAGAAUUCCGGCAGCUGGAAACCUGGACCUGGAAAAGCUACGUCGGACCACCUAUUCUGCACAACUCCAAAUGAGUUGAAACUUUACAGAGAUUUUUUAUGGAUUAUUUGAGAAAUACUAGAGCCAAUAAACACCAGAGGGGGCCACCAGGUGGCCACAACCCACCUGGGCACGCUAGGCCCCCCAGGCGCGCCCUGGUGGGUUGUGGCCUCCUCGGCCCACCUCUGGUGCCCACCUUUUGCUAUAUAAGUCAUUUUGACCUAGAAAAAAAAAGAGAAGGACUUUCGGGACGACGCGCCGCCGCCUCAAGGUGGAACUUAGGCAGGAGCACUUUUGCCCUCCGGCGGAGCGAUUCCGCCGGGGGAACUUCCCUCCCAGAGGGGGAAAUCAUCGUCAUCAUCAUC